RNAcentral lists this ribosomal RNA (410 nucleotides) under uncultured bacterium. RNAcentral describes it as "bacterial SSU rRNA". It matches the Rfam family "Bacterial small subunit ribosomal RNA", at positions 28 to 443 of the family's 1533-position model. The record is from RNAcentral.
GACGAACGCUGGCGGCGUGCUUAACACAUGCAAGUCGAACGGUAAGGCCCUUCGGGGUACGACGAGUGGCGAACGGGUGAGUAACACGUGGGUGAUCUGCCCUGCACUUUGGGAUAAGCCUGGGAAACUGGGUCUAAUACCGGAUAGGACCACGGUCUGCAUGGAUUGUGGUGGAAAGCUUUUGCGGUGUGGGAUGGGCCCGCGGCCUAUCAGCUUGUUGGUGGGGUGAUGGCCUACCAAGGCGACGACGGGUAGCCGGCCUGAGAGGGUGACCGGCCACACUGGGACUGAGAUACGGCCCAGACUCCUACGGGAGGCAGCAGUGGGGAAUAUUGCACAAUGGGCGCAAGCCUGAUGCAGCGACGCCGCGUGGGGGAGUGACGGCCUCGUUGUAACGUACUUCUACUAGG